AGCAGCCGCGGUAAUUCCAGCUCCAAUAGCGUAUAUUAAAGUUGUUGCAGUUAAAAAGCUCGUAGUUGAAUUUCGGGGUUAGCAGGUCGGUCGUGCCAUCGGUAUGAACUGGUCUCGCUGAUCCCUCCCUCUUGACGAACUGUGAUGCCAUUAAUUUGGUGUCGCAGGGAAUCAGGACUGUUACUUUAGAAAAAUUAGAGUGUUUAAAGCAGGCUCACGCUU
This 222-nucleotide ribosomal RNA is filed under the name uncultured Glomus. RNAcentral's name for it is "partial 18S ribosomal RNA". It matches the Rfam family "Eukaryotic small subunit ribosomal RNA", at positions 569 to 796 of the family's 1831-position model. The record is from RNAcentral. Lineage: Eukaryota; Fungi; Glomeromycota; Glomeromycetes; Glomerales; Glomeraceae.